UUGGUCGUAACGACUCUGAAUCCAUUCAACAUCAGUCAACUUGGGGUUUGAGGGUGCCGUUUUUUCUUUUAUUUUUCUCUACACAUUUUCUUCUUCUUCUUUUUUUAGAUUUUUUUUUUAUCUUUUUUCAUUUUUCACCCCUUUUGAUAUUACAUUUGUAAAAACCCCAAUUUGACUAUUUCUGGGUUCUCAAUAUGCGGCUGAAUGAUCUUCUUUUCAUGCUCAAGAAGAUGGGUAAUCUCAUCAGGAAUCUCGUCAACAUCAUCUUCCCCUGCUUUGAAUACAGGGAACUCAAAAUUGAGAGAUGGCGUUGGAUCAUUGUAAGAUCCCAAUUUUAUCCCUAAGAUCCCUCAUGGCAUCAUAUCAUAACAUUUCAUUGCCUCAAGGAUCAU
Molecule: long non-coding RNA, 392 nt
Filed under: Lathyrus oleraceus (garden pea)
Lineage: Eukaryota; Viridiplantae; Streptophyta; Magnoliopsida; Fabales; Fabaceae
Description: Pisum sativum (pea) long non-coding RNA (PSAT_LNC018844)
Source: RNAcentral